UGUACACACCGCCCGUCACACCAUGGGAGCGGGUUCUGCCAGAAGUAGUUAGCCUAACCGUAAGGAGGGCGAUUACCACGGCAGGGUUCGUGACUGGGGUGAAGUCGUAACAAGGUAGCCGUAUCGGAAGGUGCGGCUGGAUCACCUCCUUUCUGGAAAUAUGCAGUCAAAUUCUUACGCCCAUUCUUAUCGGCUGUUGUGUUAAACAACAGCAAUGUCACCGAGUUAAUUCAAGUUAAUUAGCAUUAAUUGGUGCCGCCUUCGAGUUUAUUAAUGAGAGUUAAUUAAUCAGAGGGUCUGUAGCUCAGCUGGUUAGAGCAUCGUCUUGAUAAGGCGGGGGUCGUUGGUUCGAGUCCAACCAGACCCACCAAUUGGGCUUAGGUGGAGAGCGAGAAGCGAAAAAGAAAUCCCGGGGGAUUAGCUCAGCUGGGAGAGCACCUGCUUUGCAAGCAGGGGGUCGACGGUUCGAUCCCGUCAUCCUCCACCAAAAUAUUCAGCAGAUUGAUAGAUUCAGUCUGUUGGAAAAAAACUUAUCAGAAGCAAAUUAAAUUAAUGCAAAGCAUGUUCGCGACAAGUCGCGAGGAUGCUUUGUAUUGAUUGAUUCAUUUCAAUUAUUGGCUGUUCUUUAAAAAUUUAUAGAGUUAAAUUAGCGUCGUUAGCGGAAACUGCACAUUCGUAAAGGUUUAGUGCAGACCGUGCCGCUAGCGACAUAGUAGUAAAUAAUUUUUUGAUUGCGUCAAAAGAAACUUUUAAUUUCGAUAGUAAUUUAUUGAAUAAUUGGAAGAUACGGCAUAACGCGUGUGGUGUAAGACCACACAAUCAUUCCUUGAAGAUAGCUUAUGAGAAAUCAAAGUUAUAGGGUCAAGCGAAUAAGAGCAUAUGGUGGAUGCCUAGGCAAUGAUAGGCGACGAAAGACGUGAUAGCCUGCGAUAAGCUUCGGGGAGCUGGCAAAUUAGCUUUGAUCCGGAGAUUUCUGAAUGGGGAAACCCACCCUUCGGGGUAACGCUGACUGAAUACAUAGGUCUGCGUGGCGAACCGGGUGAACUGAAACAUCUCAGUAGCUCGAGGAAAAGACAUCAACCGAGAUUCCGAGAGUAGUGGCGAGCGAAA
This 1110-nucleotide ribosomal RNA is filed under the name Polaromonas sp. E16S. Its description in RNAcentral is "partial 16S ribosomal RNA". The stretch from base 860 to 1110 matches the Rfam family "Bacterial large subunit ribosomal RNA", at positions 1 to 258 of the family's 2925-position model. Lineage: Bacteria; Pseudomonadati; Pseudomonadota; Betaproteobacteria; Burkholderiales; Comamonadaceae. The record is from RNAcentral.